UGAACUCUCGUUAAGGAACUCGGCAAAAUGACCCCGUAACUUCGGGAGAAGGGGUGCUGAUCGCAAGAUCAGCCGCAGUGAAUAGGCCCAGGCGACUGUUUAUCAAAAACACAGGUCUCUGCAAAAUCGUAAGAUGACGUAUAGGGGCUGACGCCUGCCCGGUGCUGGAAGGUUAAAAGGAUGGGUUAGCUUCGGCGAAGCUCAGAAUUGAAGCCCCAGUAAACGGCGGCCGUAACUAUAACGGUCCUAAGGUAGCGAAAUUCCUUGUCGGGUAAGUUCCGACCCGCACGAAAGGCGUAACGAUCUGGGCACUGUCUCAACGAGAGACUCGGUGAAAUUAUAUUGUCCGUGAAGAUGCGGACUACCCGCGACAGGACGGAAAGACCCCAUGGAGCUUUACUGUAGCUUGAUAUUGAGUGUUUGUACAGCUUGUACAGGAUAGGUAGGAGCCAUAGAAACCGGAACGCUAGUUUCGGUGGAGGCGUUGGUGGGAUACUACCCUCGCU
Molecule: ribosomal RNA, 506 nt
Filed under: Lactobacillus delbrueckii subsp. bulgaricus
Lineage: Bacteria; Bacillati; Bacillota; Bacilli; Lactobacillales; Lactobacillaceae
Description: partial 23S ribosomal RNA
Rfam family: Bacterial large subunit ribosomal RNA
Source: RNAcentral